Long non-coding RNA from Oncorhynchus keta (chum salmon), 986 nucleotides. RefSeq lists it as uncharacterized. Lineage: Eukaryota; Metazoa; Chordata; Actinopteri; Salmoniformes; Salmonidae. The transcript has 5 exons. The record is from RefSeq and is a predicted model, not a curated record.
CCACCUGUUGUCUCUCUCUGACCCUAACCCACUGUGUCUGAUACUGUAGUAGUUAAUGGAAGCCGUGCAGACUGGCUGGGUCUCUAUUCACAUGGAGAUGAUGUCUUUCUGCAGUCUGGACUGAGCUUCGUCCACUGGUUCACACAGCAACACUGUGUGGUUUGCUAUCUAAUAGACGUGUGCCAACACUCUGGGUGUGACAUGCUUACUAAACACACUCAGCAGAUUAAUUGUCUGGCUAACUAACGUUAUCGGCUAACUACUAACGAGCCGACUAUAAAAAAUAAAAUAAAAAAUAUCUAGGUGCUAGCCAACGUUACUGAGUAAACAUUAGUCAACUUAGUUUAGCGGCCUAAUUUGCUCUAGAAACCCUACCAACUAGCUGCUUUGAGAUCAGUUAGCUAGCUAGCUACAUCUCUAAACACUAGCUGGUUAGCCAGGUUAGAUAUCUUGGUAAUGUAGAGAGCAGGUCAGUUAUAGGGGAAGUAGUUCGCUAGAAUAGCUCCUGAAUAGUCUAGUUAGGGCACUGGUUAGGUCUAGUUAGGACACUGGUUAGGUCUAGUUAGGACACUGGUUAGGUCUAGUUAGGACACUGGUUAGGUCUAGUUAGGACACUGGUUAGGUCUAGUUAGGACGCUGGUUAGGUCUAGUUAGGACACUGGUUAGGUCUAGUUAGGACACUGGUUAGGUCUAGUUAGGAUGCUGGUUAGGUCUAGUUAGGCCACCGUGGCAGGAGGACACUGGUUAGGUCUAGUUAGGACGCUGGUUAGGUCUAGUUAGGACACUGGUUAGGUCUAGUUAAGACGCUGGUUAGGUCUAGUUAAGACGCUGGUUAGGUCUAGUUAGGACGCUGGUUAGGUCUAGUUAGGACGCUGGUUAGGUCUAGUUAGGACACUGGUUAGGUCUAGUUAGGACGCUGGUUAGGUCUAGUUAGGCCACCGUGGCAGGAGGACACUGGUUAGGUCUAGUUAGGACGCUGGUUAGGU